RNAcentral lists this ribosomal RNA (460 nucleotides) under uncultured bacterium. Its description in RNAcentral is "partial 16S ribosomal RNA". It matches the Rfam family "Bacterial small subunit ribosomal RNA", at positions 338 to 795 of the family's 1533-position model. The record is from RNAcentral.
CCUACGGGUGGCAGCAGUGAGGAAUAUUGGUCAAUGGACGAGAGUCUGAACCAGCCAAGUAGCGUGAAGGAUGACUGCCCUAUGGGUUGUAAACUUCUUUUAUAUGGGAAUAAAAUGUUCCACGUGUGGGAUUUUGUAUGUACCAUCUGAAUAACGAUCGGCUAACUCCGUGCCAGCAGCCGCGGUAAUACGGAGGAUCCGAGCGUUAUCCGGAUUUAUUGGGUGUAAAGGGAGCGUAGGUGGAUUGUUAAGUCAGUUGUGAAAGUUUGCGGCUCAACCGUAAAAUUGCAGUUGAAACUGGCAGUCUUGAGUACAGUAGAGGUGGGCGGAAUUCGUGGUGUAGCGGUGAAAUGCUUAGAUAUCACGAAGAACUCCGAUUGCGAAGGCAGUUCACUGGACUGCAACUGACACUGAGGCUCGAAAGUGUGGGUAUCAAACAGGAUUAGAUACCCGAGUAGUC